Molecule: transfer RNA, 3573 nt
Filed under: Pan troglodytes (chimpanzee)
Lineage: Eukaryota; Metazoa; Chordata; Mammalia; Primates; Hominidae
Description: retained intron
Rfam family: tRNA (bases 3341-3414)
Source: RNAcentral
UGAUCUGCAGGAUAGGUACAAGCUUGCAAGUAUUCUCUCUUAGUAUAAUAACAGAAGAUGGGCUUAAUUUUCCCAGUAACCAAUUGUGAGAACACAUGCGAAAUGCUUCCUGGAGUGUUUCUGGGGGCUCAUCAGGUGGGCACUAUGUGUUGCGCGUGUAACAAAUUCCCAAACUCUCAGAAGGUGGGACGCCAGAAAUUUUCAUAUUUUUUCCAUAUAGAGUUUAGGCACCAAGCUACUCUUACAUAGGUCAUUGGGCUCCUUCCCCAAAUCCGUUUCCCAGAUACCAGGAAUGGAUGUGAUGCAGGACAGGUGCGCCCUAAAAUUGGGGCUUAUCCUAGGAUGGUUUCCGGCUUUGCCCAGGGAAGAAUUCAAGGGCAGGCCAGUGGUGUUAGAUAACAGUGUUUUAUUUAACAGUACUGGUCUUUGUGGAUCAGUGCUAACUCAUAGGCAGUACACCCAGAGUCAGCAACAUAUGGUCUCUUGGCAACUAUAUUUAUACCCACUUUCAAUUAUAUGCAAAUUAAGUGGUGGGUUAUUUAAAACUUUCUAAGGAAGGAAUGAUAACUUUCAGGUCAUUGCCAUGGCAUUUGUAAGCUGUCAUAGCAUUGGUGGGAGUGUUUUAUGCUAAUGAGCAGUGAGAGCAUCUGGAGAUCGCUGUUCUUGUCGUCUGCUGGUUUUGGCCCCUUUCUUUACUUUAUCCUACCUGUGCCAGAUCUUGUUUUGGCCAGUAGGGUUGUGAUCAGAAUACAAGUCCUGUUGGUCUCCUACCUCAGAUGAAUGUUGUGAGGAGUGAGGAGCCUUUUUUUAAGGGUAAGCAGUCUCAGGACUGCUAAUAUAAACUCUUUUGCAUAGUAGGUGGUAGGACUUCGUUAUGACAGGUUCUACAGGUCCACUGUAUGAGCAGACAUUAGCUGGGACUCAGGCAGCACGUAUUACUCCUUGCAACCACCACCAAGAAAGAUGAUCAGACACUGCUAUUGUUCUACCCAAUAGUUCAAUUCUAGUAUGAGAGUUGCUGUGUGGAAGGAAGUGAGUAUGAUGACCAAACAGUGGAGUAAAUGUUUGCAGACCCCUGAAACAUGUGAACUUCUUAUGAAUUGAGUACAGCUCCCCAGCCCUGUCUGUCUCACCCAUUCUCCUCUCCACAUAUGUGGGAUGUUUCAGGACUCGGUGGCUUUUGAGGAUGUAGAUGUGAACUUCACCCAGGAGGAGUGGGCUUUGCUAGAUCCUUCCCAGAAGAAUCUCUACAGAGAUGUGAUGUGGGAAACCAUGAGGAAUCUGGCCUCUAUAGGGAAAAAAUGGAAGGACCAGAACAUUAAGGAUCACUACAAACACCGAGGGAGAAAUCUAAGAAGUCAUAUGUUAGAAAGACUCUAUCAAACUAAGGAUGGUAGUCAGCGUGGAGGAAUUUUUAGCCAGUUUGCAAAUCAGAAUCUGAGCAAGAAAAUCCCUGGAGUGAAACUCUGUGAAAGCAUUGUAUAUGGAGAAGUCAGCAUGGGUCAGUCAUCCCUUAAUAGACACAUCAAAGAUCACAGUGGACAUGAACCAAAGGAAUAUCAGGAAUAUGGAGAGAAGCCAGAUACACGUAACCAGUGUUGGAAACCCUUCAGUUCUCACCACUCCUUUCGAACACAUGAGAUAAUUCACACUGGAGAAAAACUCUAUGAUUGUAAGGAAUGUGGAAAAACCUUCUUUUCUCUCAAAAGAAUUAGAAGACACAUCAUCACACACAGUGGAUAUACACCAUAUAAAUGUAAGGUGUGUGGGAAAGCUUUUGAUUAUCCCAGUAGAUUUCGAACACAUGAAAGAAGUCACACUGGAGAGAAACCCUAUGAAUGUAAGGAAUGUGGAAAAGCCUUCACUUGUAUCACAAGUGUUCGAAGACACAUGAUAAAGCACACUGGAGAUGGACCUUAUAAAUGUAAGGUAUGUGGGAAACCCUUUCAUUCUCUGAGUUCAUUUCAAGUGCAUGAAAGAAUUCACACUGGAGAAAAACCCUUUAAAUGUAAGCAAUGUGGUAAAGCCUUCAGUUGUUCCCCAACCUUACGAAUACAUGAAAGAACCCAUACUGGAGAGAAACCUUAUGAAUGCAAGCAGUGUGGGAAGGCCUUCAGUUAUCUCCCCUCCCUUCGACUACAUGAAAGAAUUCACACUGGUGAGAAACCCUUCGUAUGUAAACAAUGUGGUAAAGCCUUUAGAUCUGCCAGUACCUUUCAAAUACAUGAAAGGACUCACACUGGAGAAAAACCCUAUGAAUGUAAGGAAUGUGGGGAAGCAUUCAGUUGUAUCCCAAGUAUGCGAAGACACAUGAUAAAACAUACUGGAGAAGGACCUUAUAAAUGUAAGGUAUGUGGGAAACCCUUUCAUUCUCUGAGUCCAUUUCGAAUACAUGAAAGAACUCACACUGGAGAGAAACCUUAUGUAUGUAAACAUUGUGGUAAAGCUUUCGUUUCUUCAACAUCAAUUCGAAUACAUGAAAGAACUCAUACUGGAGAGAAACCCUAUGAGUGUAAGCAAUGUGGGAAAGCCUUCAGUUAUCUCAACUCCUUUCGAACACAUGAAAUGAUUCACACUGGUGAGAAACCCUUUGAAUGUAAGCGAUGUGGUAAAGCCUUUAGAUCUUCUAGUUCCUUUCGACUACAUGAAAGGACUCACACUGGACAGAAACCCUAUCAUUGCAAGGAAUGUGGGAAAGCCUAUUCUUGCCGUGCCAGCUUUCAGAGACACAUGUUAACACAUGCUGAAGAUGGACCACCUUAUAAAUGCAUGUGGGAAAGCCUUUAAUGCUCUGGGUUCAUGUCAGAUACAUUAAAAUACUCACUGAAGAGAAGCCCUAUGAAUGUAAGUAACGUGGGAAAGCAUGAAAUUCUGUCAGUGCCUUUUUUAAUACAUGAAAGAAUUCUAGAGAGAAGCCAUAUACAUGUAAGUAACAUGGGAAAGCUUUCAAUCAUUUUAGUUCCUUUCAAAUACAUGAAAGAACUCAUCAUGGAGAAAACCAAACAAAUGCUUUUUGGAAAGGAACCCAUAUUUGAGAGAAACCCUGGGUAAAGGGUGUAGGAAAGGUUUUGUCAUCACACAACCCUGUCACACAUGAAUGCGUAGUGGAGAGAACCUUGGUAAAUGUAAAGAGUGUGGGAGAGCCUUUAGUCAUUUUAGUUCCACUUGAAGCCAUGAAAGAACACACAAAAGAGAAAGCUCUUGAAUAUAAGCAAUGUCCAAACGUUUUUAGCCAGCCCACAUGCUUUCGACAACAUGUAAGAAUGUACCCUGGAUCAAAACACUAUAAAUGUGAAAACUACAAGGAAGGUUUUCCAUUAUACUUUUAAAGUCAUUUGAGGGCUCUGUGGCUUUGUGGGUUAAAGUACUUGUCUGGCAAACAGGAGAUGCUGGAUUUCAAUCCCAGCAGGGCCUCACUAGUUGAGGUAUUGAAUUUGAACAGAUGUUUUGGCUCUGGCUGGGUGUGGUGGCUCACACCUGUAAUCCCAGCACUUUGGGAGGCUGAGGCAGGAGGAUCACUUGAGGUCAGGAGUUUGAGACCAGUGUGCAAAACAUAGCAAGACCUCAUCUCAG